RNAcentral lists this ribosomal RNA (120 nucleotides) under Colletotrichum gloeosporioides. Lineage: Eukaryota; Fungi; Ascomycota; Sordariomycetes; Glomerellales; Glomerellaceae. RNAcentral also lists the same sequence under 2 other names. The record is from RNAcentral.
ACAUACGACCAUACCCACUGGAAAACUCGGGAUCCCGUCCGCUCUCCCAUAGAUAAGCCAGUGAGGGCUGGAGUAGUAGUCGGGUCGGUGACGACCGGCGAAUGCCCGGUGUUGUAUGUU